This 375-nucleotide ribosomal RNA is filed under the name uncultured bacterium. Its description in RNAcentral is "partial 16S ribosomal RNA". It matches the Rfam family "Bacterial small subunit ribosomal RNA", at positions 338 to 710 of the family's 1533-position model. The record is from RNAcentral.
CCUACGGGUGGCAGCAGUGAGGAAUAUUGGUCAAUGGACGGGAGUCUGAACCAGCCAAGCCGCGUGCGGGAGGACGGCUCUGUGUAUUGUAAACUUCUUUUGUCCGAGAAUAAACCUUGAUACGUGUCUUCGGCUGAGAGUACUUUACGAAUAAGCAUCGGCUAACUCCGUGCCAGCAGCCGCGGUAAUACGGAGGAUCCAAGCGUUAUCCGGAUUUAUUGGGUUUAAAGGGUGCGUAGGCGGAGUGAUAAGUCUGAGGUGAAAUGGGGGGGCUUAACCCCGGAACUGCCUCUAAUACUGUAUGGCUAGAGUGUAGAUGAGGUAGGUGGAAUGCAUGGUGUAGCGGUGAAAUGCGUAGAGAUCAUACAGAACACC